Molecule: ribosomal RNA, 620 nt
Filed under: Bacillus sp. SA4T
Lineage: Bacteria; Bacillati; Bacillota; Bacilli; Caryophanales; Bacillaceae
Description: bacterial SSU rRNA
Rfam family: Bacterial small subunit ribosomal RNA
Source: RNAcentral
CGAUGAACGCUGGCGGCGUGCCUAAUACAUGCAAGUCGAGCGAACUGAUUAGAAGCUUGCUUCUAUGACGUUAGCGGCGGACGGGUGAGUAACACGUGGGCAACCUGCCUGUAAGACUGGGAUAACUUCGGGAAACCGAAGCUAAUACCGGAUAGGAUCUUCUCCUUCAUGGGAGAUGAUUGAAAGAUGGUUUCGGCUAUCACUUACAGAUGGGCCCGCGGUGCAUUAGCUAGUUGGUGAGGUAACGGCUCACCAAGGCAACGAUGCAUAGCCGACCUGAGAGGGUGAUCGGCCACACUGGGACUGAGACACGGCCCAGACUCCUACGGGAGGCAGCAGUAGGGAAUCUUCCGCAAUGGACGAAAGUCUGACGGAGCAACGCCGCGUGAGUGAUGAAGGCUUUCGGGUCGUAAAACUCUGUUGUUAGGGAAGAACAAGUACGAGAGUAACUGCUCGUACCUUGACGGUACCUAACCAGAAAGCCACGGCUAACUACGUGCCAGCAGCCGCGGUAAUACCGUAGGUGGCAAGCGUUAUCCGGAAUUAUUGGGCGUAAAGCGCGCGCAGGCGGUUUCUUAAGUCUGAUGUGAAAGCCCACGGCUCAACCGUGGGAGGGUCAU